Molecule: long non-coding RNA, 829 nt
Filed under: Callithrix jacchus (white-tufted-ear marmoset)
Lineage: Eukaryota; Metazoa; Chordata; Mammalia; Primates; Cebidae
Description: lncRNA (ENSCJAG00000071194.1)
Source: RNAcentral
CUCUUGACAAAGGAAAGAAGGCCUGUUUAUUCGGGUGCCGGGCCCAAGUGUCCACCUCCCCCGUACCCAAGCUUUGGUUCUUAGGCAUCCAACUCCCUUUAUCCAGACGUCCUCCCUAAGGAAAGAUGGAACUAGAGAUGGCAAUGACUCCUUUUAGACCCCAGCUUGGCUCCAAUCAGGUGUCAGCUAUCUGACAGCUCCUUGCAACAAACCAGCUGAUAUCAGCACCCCUCACUAGUGCUCUACCCCAGGGUGAUCCUUUCUCAGACAGACAGCCCCACAUCCUGGAGCGCCGCUAUGCAACUGGACUACGAGCUUGACGCCAGCUCCCUCUCACUAUCUCUGGAGGAUUUCCUUGUGCAGGGCUCAACCUCCACACCUGUAUGCAAGGUGCUCAUGUGGGGAACAGCCUGAAUACACAGAAGACUGGGCAGCCUGCAAGAAAGAGGCAAUGCCUGGCCACAUCAACUUCCUGAAAGCUUUGAAGAGUACAGCAGCAGGCCAGGUGUGGUGGCUCACACCUGUAAUCUCAGCACUUUGGGAGGCCAAGGCGGGUGCACCACAAGGUCAAGAGACCAAGAUCAUCCUGGACAAGAUGUGGAAACCCCGUCUCUACUAAAAAUACAAAUAUUAGCUGAAUGUGGUGGCAUGCUCCUGUCAUCCCAGCUACUCGGGAGGCUGAGACAGGAAAAUGACCUGAACCCAGGAGGCGGAGGUUGCAGUGAGCUGAGAUUGUGCCACUGCACUCCAGCUUGGUGACAGAGCAAGACUCCAUCUCGAAAAAAAAAAAAGAAGAAGAAUGAACCUGUUUAAUUUUGUUCAAAACAGC